This 73-nucleotide transfer RNA is filed under the name Camelus bactrianus (Bactrian camel). It matches the Rfam family "tRNA". Rfam says of the family: Transfer RNA (tRNA) molecules are approximately 80 nucleotides in length. Their secondary structure includes four short double-helical elements and three loops (D, anti-codon, and T loops). RNAcentral also lists the same sequence under 1 other name. Lineage: Eukaryota; Metazoa; Chordata; Mammalia; Artiodactyla; Camelidae. The record is from Rfam by way of RNAcentral.
GAGUGUAUAGCUCAGUGGUCAGAAUGCAUGCUUAGCAUGCAUGAGGUCCUGGGUUCAUUCCCAAGUAUCUCCA